This 253-nucleotide ribosomal RNA is filed under the name uncultured bacterium. RNAcentral describes it as "partial 16S ribosomal RNA". It matches the Rfam family "Bacterial small subunit ribosomal RNA", at positions 524 to 776 of the family's 1533-position model. The record is from RNAcentral.
UACGUAGGGUGCAAGCGUUGUCCGGAAUUAUUGGGCGUAAAGAGCUCGUAGGCGGCUUGUCACGUCGGAUGUGAAAGCCUGGGGCUUAACCCCGGGUCUGCAUUCGAUACGGGCAGGCUAGAGUGUGGUAGGGGAGAUCGGAAUUCCUGGUGUAGCGGUGAAAUGCGCAGAUAUCAGGAGGAACACCGGUGGCGAAGGCGGAUCUCUGGGCCAUUACUGACGCUGAGGAGCGAAAGUGUGGGGAGCGAACAGG